This is a long non-coding RNA of Phragmites australis (common reed), 512 nucleotides long. RefSeq lists it as uncharacterized. Lineage: Eukaryota; Viridiplantae; Streptophyta; Magnoliopsida; Poales; Poaceae. The record is from RefSeq and is a predicted model, not a curated record. The transcript has 3 exons.
CCAUUAAGGCAGCAGCUGGGUUGCACAGUGCGCGUUCAUCCCAUCCCACAAGGCGCACGUACGUAUAUAAUCCGUUGGUAGAUCCCAAGCUGAAUCCAUCAAUGGAGAACAAUGGCAGCAGCAACCCACAGCCGCCGCCAGGCUACCCGACGGCUGGUUCGGAGGGCGCGGCAGGCGGCACGAAGAAGAAGGCGACGACGACCAAGCGGGGAGAGGCCAGCUUUAUCGAAGGAUGCAUCGCCGCGAUCUGCUGCUGCUGGCUCUGCGAGAUCUGCUGCGACUGAUCGAUCAGGAGGCUGCAGGAAAUGAUGAUGACUCAUCAAAGAUGGAUAUAUAUGUGCGUCGAGCCGCCUGUUUAGUUUGGUCAAUAUAUAUCAGAAUAAUAACUUGAGGAUGAGUUUGUGAUGAGGUCAACGAGUUUGUUAGAUUGCUGUAUUACUUUGUUUUCUGUAACAUUUUUUCCUACCACGAAUACGUCGUGAAAUACAGCUACAUUAAUUUGUUUCAGCAAA